This 468-nucleotide ribosomal RNA is filed under the name uncultured bacterium. RNAcentral describes it as "partial 16S ribosomal RNA". It matches the Rfam family "Bacterial small subunit ribosomal RNA", at positions 28 to 507 of the family's 1533-position model. The record is from RNAcentral.
GACGAACGCUGGCGGCGUGCCUAACACAUGCAAGUCGAACGGAAAGACGCGGCGCUUGCUGGUCGCACGUUAGGGGAGGAGGUGAGAAUCACGCGUGGAUCCUGCCCUUGACUUUGUGAGAUAUUUAGGAGACUGCGGAUAAUAUCCGGUAUAAUCUCUUGCUGCGCAGUGGUCGUUAGUAAGAGACGGCUGUUGUGUCUGUAAUCGCGGCUUAUCAGCUGGUUGGGGGGGUAGGUGCGGCCCACGGCUUUGACGGGUAGCCGGCGUGAGAGGGUGGCCAGGCACAAUGGGACUGCGAUACGGACCAGACUCCUACGGGCGGCAGCAGUCGGGAGUAUUGCACAAUGGGCGGACGCCUGAUGCAGCGACGCCGCGUGCGGGAUGACGGCCUUCGGGUUGUAAACAGCUUUCGCCUGUGCCGAAGCGUGAGUGACGGUAAUGGGUAAAGAAGCACCGGCUAACUACGUG